Solanum tuberosum (potato) is the source of this 304-nucleotide long non-coding RNA. RefSeq lists it as uncharacterized. NCBI's taxonomy places the organism in Eukaryota, Viridiplantae, Streptophyta, Magnoliopsida, Solanales, Solanaceae. The transcript is spliced from 3 exons. The record is from RefSeq and is a predicted model, not a curated record.
UCUAAGCUAUUGUUCCUUCCAAGGGUGAGAAGAGACUCCCUUAAAAUAUGGAUAGAAAAAUUGAGAUAAAAAAAUUUGAAGACAACGAAUAAAUGUAAAGCCGCCUUUUCUAAGCGAUGUAGUAGUUUAUUAAGGAAGGCAGAAGAGAUUGCAAUUUGUUGUGAUGUGCAUGUCUUGUUUGUUGCGUUCUCACCCUCUAAUCGACUCAACAAAUUCUGUAGCCAAAAAAGAAUUGAAGACAUGCUUGAACGCUAUAUUAAGCUUCCGGUUGAGAGGAGAUUGACUCACAUGGGCGAUGUUAAGG